UUGUUGAGGCGGUCGAUCUUGGCGCUGGCGUCCGGGUGGUACUCCUCGCCGGCGGCCACGGCGGCGGCCCGGGCGCGGGCGGCUUCCUCAGCGGCGCGCUUGCGUGCGUCUCUGAGGCGUUCCUGGCGCUCUCGUGCGUCGCGCAUGUGCUGGUCGAGGUACUUGGCGUACGCAAAGUAGCCCUCCUCCGCGCGCGUGUCCAGUGCUACCGCCUGCUCAAACAGCCCUGUGCGCAGCCCAGGCAGCCGUAUCUAACUUCCUUGUUUGUACGCGUCAAUCCCCAGAAUUCGCGCAAAGGCUGGCUGGUGCUCUGUGCACCCUCCUUUGGCAGCUGGCCUUGCCUCACCUCUGCUUGAUGGCAAAAUAAUCAGACAUUUUGAUUGUGGUGGUGAAAACGGGGCCAAGCCCCAAACAUCACACUGCGAUGUGCUGAUCGACAGGCAAAACAGUCAAUCAGCCAAAAAGCGCGGCAGGGCAGUCGGGCACAUUGAAAAAAUGGCAGACAGUCUGAAACGCGCAAGAAGUACGAGCUGGGAUCCUGGGAGCUUACCUGCGAUGUCUGCGCGCACGCCCUGGCCGGUGGUGGCGGUCCAGCAGGCCAGCUGCAGCACCAGCUCUGCGCCGUUCUGCCUCACGCUCGGGCUCAGCUGCGAGCUGCGCCCUCCAGGACCCACAUC
This 677-nucleotide long non-coding RNA is filed under the name Coccomyxa subellipsoidea. RNAcentral describes it as "long non-coding RNA (CSUB_LNC000361)". The record is from RNAcentral. Lineage: Eukaryota; Viridiplantae; Chlorophyta; Trebouxiophyceae; Coccomyxaceae.